GCCGUCGUUGUAUAAUGGUUAUUACGUUGCUUUCCGGCGUCACAUGAUGUGCUAGGCAAAGAUUGUGGGUUCGAGUCCCAUCGACGGUU
This is a non-coding RNA of Crucibulum laeve, 89 nucleotides long. Lineage: Eukaryota; Fungi; Basidiomycota; Agaricomycetes; Agaricales; Nidulariaceae. The record is from the annotation of a GenBank genome assembly.